Molecule: long non-coding RNA, 5183 nt
Filed under: Trifolium pratense (red clover)
Lineage: Eukaryota; Viridiplantae; Streptophyta; Magnoliopsida; Fabales; Fabaceae
Description: long non-coding RNA (TPRA_LNC001283)
Source: RNAcentral
UCGAAGAAAAACUCACCCAGCAGAAACAAGAAUGAUGUCUGGCUUAAAUCUUUGAGCACAAGGUACAAUAACUUCAUCAAACACAGUUCUAAUAGUAGUAUCACCAGAACCUUCAGGAAGAGGCAGAUUUAGCGUGGUUCCUUCACCAUCCCCAGUACCUACCUCAUCAAAUUUUCCUGUACCUGGAUAGCUUCCAUCCUGAGCCGUUAAAUAGAAGUUAAUAAAUAUAACAACUCUUCUCCUAGCAAUGUCAUAUAUGAAGUUUAUGCUAUUUUAUUUUGUCCAACUGCAUAAUCCUUGUAGGGAGGAUUACUAUUUAUGAAUGGAUUUUAAGAAUACCAAUGAAGAAAACCAAGAAAAUAUAAUCAAAACUAUGGAGUAUGGACCAAACUUGUAGCUUACUUGGUGGAAGGAAAGGAAAAAUACAUCUGGAUCAUCGUAGAAAGCGUCAUUUGUUCCAUUUCCAUGGUGAACAUCAAAGUCAAUUAUAAACACACGCUUCAGUCCAUGAACACGCUGAGCAUGACGAGCCGCAAUGGCCACAUUUGCAAAAAUGCAAAAUCCCAUAGCUCCUUGUGGAAUAGCGUGAUGUCCUGGUGGUCUUAUCAAAGCAAAACCAGUAGGUGAAUCUUUGUUUAUCUUUGAAGCUGCAACCUGAAUGUGAAAAAUUCAAUAAGAGAAAUUUAUAUAAUGAGUACAAACUCUAAAAUACAAUUUAAUUACGAAAGUGUAGACAUAUACACAACCUUCACCUUUGGCUAAAACACAAAUUUAAUUACGAAGAGGAAGAAUAAAGGUAGCAAGGAGAAAACUCUUGACCACUUGGUUAUAGAUGCAUUGAUACCAUGUUUCUAAAACUUAAGCUCGGAAGUGGAGACUCAAUAACUAUUUGAAUAUUGGUUCAAAAAAAAAAAAAAAUAACUAUUUGAAUAUCUCCAAAAACUUACAAUGCAUUGGACAUUUAAAAAGUCAAAUAGGAACACAAUUUUAAUUCAAAAAAUUGUUACAUUUGUGACUUCCCACUGCCACCAACCAUUGAAAGAUAUAGAGAAAGGUAGAUAUAUGCACUUCAGUCAAUAUCUGGUUCUGAGAAACCAAAGACCCAAAUUUCCAACAAAGAGCAAAAUAGUUUCCAAUAUACACAUCGUUACUAGAAGCAGAUAUGUUGUACAUAUCUAUCUCCACUCACUUAACCCAACCCAAAACAAUUACAAAGAUUAACGCAACGAGAUGGACAUGCCAGGUUGAGAGAUUACCACUGAGUCAACUAAGGCUAAUCCAGCACCAGCUGCUACUAUUGACUCCUGGAAAGUCUGCAUUAUAAAUACCACAAUAAGCAUGCAAAAACAUGGAAAUCAAUAUGGUUUUCUACUGAAUAAAUGUAUCUUCUACCACAAUGAACUAGAAUACGAAGUUUCUAGAAUAGAAUGACUUGCUGCAGACACUCUGAACUUGGGAAAGCAAGAAAAAGCUUGAGCUUAGUACUUACAGUAGACGUAGCAUAUGUUGGUCCAGAACCUUCAAUGAAAACUAGGCCCUUUUCCAAAUCUUUAUUUUUUUUUGAAUGGCGGCCCUUUUCCAAAGCUUGAUCGAUAACCUGUGAAGAUUCAGGAGAGGAUAAAAUGUCAACUUCAAAACAAAAAUUCUGUGUCGUGGUAAAAUGAGAUUAUCUACAAAUUAUGAAAUGCCUAAGUAUCACAAACUAUGCCAAUAGCUAGUGAUCAUAAAUUUUGAACUAAAAACAAGGAUACUUAAAACUAAUUAGUCAGAACUUGGAAUACAUUAGUAGUGUUUAAGCUAAAAUACACUGAACAAUUCAGUGUGCAGCAGAAAUCCGCUUCCUCGCCAUGACGUUUUAUAAUCACUGUGCACUAAAUCAUAAUUAAAGUAAUGAUUAAGUGAAACUGGUUCAGAAACAAACAUUAUAGGAAAGACAGAGUUGAUAGACAAUUGUUCAGUUCAGACCCUAGAAUUUAUAGAAAGAACAGAGGAAACUUUGGUUUUAUAGCAUAGGAAAAACAAGGAAUCACCAGGUAUUUCAGAGCCUGGCUUCUCCUUUAACAUAAUAAAUGAGAUUCCCCCUACUCGUUACAUUAUUUUCUGUAAUUAUGUAAUUUUAUACCCUAAUCAAAACUAAGUAUAAGGCUUACCCCACUUUAUUAUUUGGGGUCGUCCUUAUUUCUCCUAAAGAAACAUAUGCAACUCUAAUAAUAGAUUUUAUAAAAUAACAAAGACAAAGUAACAAGGUCAGAAGUCAGAACUACUUAACCGCUAGGGUGCAUCCAUAUUUCUCCCAGAAAAACCAUCCCAUCAAAAUUGGAGUCAGUUAUUAGGUGAAUGUUGCGAUACACUGCAUUGUAAGGUGUACACAAUGGGAAAAAUGAUUAAUGGCAUCUGUAACCAAUAUCAAAAACCAAAAAGAAGAGAAGGGGAUGAAUCCCCUGCUGCCACAGAAGACCCCCUUACUUAUUGCAUGCAGCUCUUUCUCUCUUGAACAGCUAUUUCUCUCUCCUUUAUUCAACUACUAAUUUGUAUGACGUAAAAUCUAUGGCUGGAAGUACAACAGCAAGAAUUGAAAAGAAAUACAGGUAACAAAAGGAAGCAUAAGAUUAACUGAUUAAGCGAACUCAAGUGGAAUUUUGCCUAAAAUAUAUUAGCAAACGUCAAGCGGAAUUUAUAAGUAUAAUAUAAAAUUGAAAAAUUCCAUAAUCUAGAAAACACAACAUCUCACAUAUGAAAUAGUUGAAGCAAACAAAAAACGUUACCUUUUCAAGCUCAGAAACAUAGUCUCUUGCAUGCACACUUGCAAUGUGAUCGGUUGAAGCAGGUUCAAAAUGUUGAAGUUUCACGACCUCAGAGCCACGAAACUGAAUCAUGCAUAAACAAAAGUUGUGGAAAUGAAAAUACUUUAUAAUUACUAGUAUUUAAUGUCACUAAAGUAUGGCUAAUCAUAAUACAGUUGCACAUAGUGUCAAGUUAAGUUGGUCUUUUUCUAAAACCGAAACAUGUACAGAAAUCUAUAGAAACCGAUUGUGUAUGGAAAUUGAUUUGUCUUUCAAACAAAUAUGCAAUACUUCAAAUUAAGUUAUCAAAUGCGAAGACAUAAAUGGGCGUUACUUUUAGUACCUUCGGAGUGAGUUUCAUUUCUCCCAAAGCAUUCACAAUUGAAGGAAUGCGAAAAUGUGAUUCUGGAUGAUCCUCCUGUUAAUAGUGGAAUAUCUAUAUUACAAUCACAAAUAAUGUGAUUUGUUAGGCUAUAUUAGUAAGUUAGUGGUUAUAUUAGUUUCUAGGGUUUGAACCUUGAACACUAGUAAGUAACACUAGUAAUAAUAAUAUUGAGAAAAUUGAAAUGAAACCUGGUUGUGGCCCAUGGAAGGAGCAACGGAAUAUAUAAGACGAGCAUUAGUCAAUUGAUCAAUAGAAGGUAGAGAAGAUUGGAUCUUCUUGUGUCUCUUAUGAUUGUUGUUGAAGAAUCUGAUAGUUUUUUCCAAUUGAAAACUACUCUUCCAGUUGUUUACAUGAUGAUGACCGAGGAGAAAUAGUGCCUUCCCUGUUGUUAAAUCACAUCACAUGCACAAUUUUAGAGUUUGAUUUCAAAUCGUACACUAAAUUGGAAAUCAAAGUUACCAAAACCAGAGAGAGAGAGACAGAGUACCGGAGUGAGGAAGAAGGUUGCGUAGGUGCAGCAUUGGAGAGUGUUAGUUCAACGCAGCGCCGAAAUUUCUUAUUUCUUUCCUUCUUUUUAUUUUAAGGCGCCCUAAAUGGAUGAGUAAAAAUUGUAAUUUUAUAAGUUAUUUUAUUAUAAAUUAUUUUGACAAACUUAUAAUAAUAUAUAAAAGUGCAUAAGUUGUUUGCAUAAACUCUAAAUAAGAAAAAAAAAUGUCAAGUCAAACAAUACCUAAGUAUUUUUUGCGGGUAACUUGAAAGUUGAAACGAUAAUGCUACAAUGUAGAUUUUCUAGGAAUAAUAUUCCAAUACUUGAAACGAGAACAAGUAACUUUGGAUGUACGAUACAUAUGUAAAAUUCUCAAGUGUUUUUGGAAUGAGAAUACCCUUUGACUUAAUGGCAACGGAAUAUAAGAAAAUUAGUUUACACAUGAAUAAUUUGCCAUAAUCAUUUGACAAAAUUAAUUACUAUUUACACCGAUAAGUGCUAAGACAAGAGUGGAGUUUUCAUUGAAAGACCACAGCAAUCUUGCACGAUGGAUUUGCUUCUUCUAUGUGACAAGUGGGACGAUGACCACUCAAGGCAGGUUUUGGUUUUUAACAUCACAAGGAAUGAAUGCAUUUUAUCCUCUGAAUUGCUUGCUUAACCUUUUUUGAUGGCUCUUCAUACAAAAUGUUUGGGUUAUCAAACUCAGAUGCCAAGCUUUUGUCCCCAAGAAGAGCACGAAAUGUGUCUGCCACUGAAUACGAAAGAGACUUGAGAUUAUAUCCUCCUUCCAAGAAAAAUAUGCAUCGACCCCCGCAUAAGUCUUUUGCCAGUUGUUUAAUAUUGGACGCAAGCAUGUAAUAUGUUCCCGUUGUUAAUUGAAGAUUAGCUAGUGGAUCUAACACGUGGCCGUCAUACCUAACAAAUGAAAUAGCAAGAAAUUCCAAAGGUAAAAACAAGAUUUUCAAGAAUUUAUGUGAAGGAGUCUUUUCCUGAAUGAAAAAUCUAAUAAAAAUUUCAUGUAGUUGUAGAAUUAAAAAUCAAGAGGUGUGGUGGAAUGUAACUUGCUGAAAUUGAUAGUAAAUUGUUAAUUCCAUCUAUGUUUUGAUGAUAAUGAUUCAAAGAAAAACUCACCCAGCAGAAACAAGAAUGAUGUCUGGUUUAAAUCUUUGAGCACAAGGUACAAUAACUUCAUCGAACACAGUUCUAAUUGUAGUAUCGCCAGAACCUCCAGGAAGAGGCAGAUUUAGUGUGGUUCCUAAACCAUCCCCAGCACCUACCUCGUCAAAUUUUCCUGUACCUGGAUAGCUUCCGUCCUAAGCGAUUAAAUUGAAGUUAUUAAAUAUAACAAGUCUUCUCCUAGCAAUGCCAUUAAAAAACAAGUAUUCUCCUAGCAAUGUCAUUUAUGAAGUUUAUGCUAGUUUAUUUUGUCCAACUGCAUAAUCGUUGUAGGGAGGAUAUUACUAUUUAUGAAUGGCUUUUAAGAAUACCAAUGAAGAAAACCACGAAAAUAUAAUCAAAACUUUGGACC